Eurytemora carolleeae is the source of this 372-nucleotide long non-coding RNA. RefSeq lists it as uncharacterized. The record is from RefSeq and is a predicted model, not a curated record. The transcript is spliced from 2 exons. Lineage: Eukaryota; Metazoa; Arthropoda; Copepoda; Calanoida; Temoridae.
UCAUCUGAAACCGUGGACAAGAUAUCCUCCCUGUAAGAAUUGCAAACUUCAACUUCAACAUCAAUUUUGUGUGUUAGCAUUUAGGGCGUCAGGUUGAAGACGAUUCGGUAAACCCUUCGGAUGAUCCUAUAGAUGAUUCAAGACCUGAAGAUUGAAGAUAUAGAAGCAAGAUUCAAUCUGAUUAUAUUUGAUCUUGUUUAAUUGUCAAAGUAAAUAUUUACUCAAAAAAUCUUCAAAACUAUUUAAAUGAAAAUUCAUUCUUAAAACUUAAAUGUAAAACUUUUGAGUUUACUGUCUGAAAUCAUAAACAUUUUAUAUUCAGAACCAUGAAUUUUAUAUGGAUUUUAUCUAAAAGAUAUUUAGCCAAUAUUU